This 274-nucleotide ribosomal RNA is filed under the name uncultured bacterium. RNAcentral's name for it is "partial 16S ribosomal RNA". It matches the Rfam family "Bacterial small subunit ribosomal RNA", at positions 523 to 796 of the family's 1533-position model. The record is from RNAcentral.
AUACGGAGGGUGCAAGCGUUACUCGGAAUCACAGGGCGUAAAGCGCGCGCAGGCGGGCUGAUAAGUUGGAUGUGAAAGCCUACGGCUCAACCGUAGAACUGCAUCCAAAACUGUCAGUCUAGAGUGUGGGAGAGGAAGAUGGAAUUAGUUGUGUAGGGGUAAAAUCCGUAGAGAUAACUAGGAAUACCAAAAGCGAAGGCAAUCUUCUGGAACACUACUGACGCUGAGGUGCGAAGGCGUGGGGAGCAAACAGGAUUAGAAACCCUAGUAGUCC